AUGGAAUGAGAAUAUAUUCUCUUAACAAUAAGUUAAUCUAAAAUCGCCUAUAUAUAAUCAUUUCAUGAACUUAAACAAGUAUGCUUACAAACAUAGAGGUGCGAAUUCGCAACAAAAACAAUGACAGGAAAGUCAUCUUGGCCAGAGCUUGUAGGGGUACGUGGAGAUGAAGCAGUGAAGGCAAUAGAGAAAGAAAGGCCAGACGUGAAAGCCAUUAUAAUACCACCAUGCCAACCGGUUAUAACUUUAGACUAUGUGUCCAAUCGAGUUCGAGUCGUCGUCGGUGGUCAUGGGAAGGUGUCUCACGUACCUGUCGUCGGCUAAUCAACUCUUCCCUCACUUUGUAAUGUCACACCUUAAAUUGCACUACGACAAAAUAAAAUUAAGGUGUGUAUUUUCCACACCCAACUUAAUCAUAAUCCUUCCUUUUUUUUUUUUGAGUA
Molecule: non-coding RNA, 443 nt
Organism: Benincasa hispida (wax gourd)
Lineage: Eukaryota; Viridiplantae; Streptophyta; Magnoliopsida; Cucurbitales; Cucurbitaceae
Source: RefSeq, a predicted model, not a curated record